UACGUAGGGAGCAAGCGUUGUCCGGAAUCAUUGGGCGUAAAGCGCGCGUAGGUGGCUUCGUAAGUCCGUUGUGAAAGUCAAAGGCUCAACCUUUGAAAGCCGAUGGAUACUGCGGAGCUAGAGUACGGAAGAGGCGAGUGGAAUUCCUGGUGUAGCGGUGGAAUGCGCAGAUAUCAGGAGGAACACCAAUAGCGAAGGCAGCACUCUGGGACGUGACUGACGCUGAGACGCGAAAGCGUGGGGAGCAAACAGG
Molecule: ribosomal RNA, 253 nt
Filed under: uncultured bacterium
Lineage: Bacteria
Description: partial 16S ribosomal RNA
Rfam family: Bacterial small subunit ribosomal RNA
Source: RNAcentral